RNAcentral lists this long non-coding RNA (1706 nucleotides) under Helianthus annuus (common sunflower). The record is from RNAcentral. Lineage: Eukaryota; Viridiplantae; Streptophyta; Magnoliopsida; Asterales; Asteraceae.
UGCGAUAUUUUUAUCAAGAUCCCCACGGUUCUUUUCAAACCAUAUUCACUUCUACGGCUUCAUACGUCCCUAAUCUAUCCAUUUAUUCAAAAGCCUAAUCAUCUUUGCAAGAUCUUAUAAUCUUCUCCAUCGCGUCCAAGAAGCCAUUUCAGAAACCACGUUUUCUUCCUUCUCUCAUGGAAGAAAUCUGACACGUGUCUGUCUUUGUUAACCACGCGAUAUUUUUAUCAGGAUCCCCACGGUUCUUUUCAAACCCUAUUCACUUCUACGGCUUCAUACGUCCCUAAUCUAUCCAUUUAUUCAAAAGCUUAAUCAUCUUCGCAAGAUCUUAUAAUCUUCUCCAUCGCCGUCCAAGAAGCCAUUUCAGAAACCACGUUUUCUUCCUUCUCUCAUGGAAGAAGGACAUCCAACCAUUGUUGCUCACCGCGAUACUGGUAUGUGGUAUUUGAACUUUACUCUGCUUAGGGUUUUGAGAAAGAACUGAACUUCUGUUUCAUCAAGCAACCUUGUGGCCAGACUCCAUUCAUAUUUCAAUGGCUUAAAAUCUCACUGAACUAUGUAUGCUACAUUACACGACUCAAAAGCAGGUUACAAUGCUUGACAAAAUCAAAGCUGCAGAUGUUGGGCUGGAGCCGGAAGCACAAACAGUACGUAACUGGACAGGUCCCGUAAGCGAACUCAACGGGACAAUGGGCCCAAUCAAUCUUUGCCGCCGAAUAAAUAUAUCCAUAUUCAUGAGUCCGACAGCUUCACAAUGGGGAUAUUUUGCAUGCCACCGUCUUCCAUCAUUCCCCUUCAUAAUCAUCCCGGAAUGACUGUUUUUAGCAAGCUUUUGUAUGGAUCAAUGGAUGUAAAAGCAUAUGAUUGGCUUGAUGAACCCUAACCGUCUGAUACGCCACAAUGUAUCAUCUUUCUUGACUAUGACUUAUGACAAGUGGUGGAUGAGGUUGCAAAUAUAUGGGGAUAUUUUGCAUGCCACCGUCUUUCAUCAUUCCCCUUCAUAAUUAUCCCAGAAUGACCAUUUUUAGCAAGCUUCUGUAUGGAUCAAUGGAUGUAAAAGCAUAUGAUUGGCUUGAUGAACUCUCACCGUCUGAUACGUCACAAGUUUCGGCACCAAUCUGCAACUUUGUCCACCGGCCGGAACGCAAGAAGAAGAGACAGUAGACGAUCAAAGAUAUUGUCAUUUGGAAUUGAGUGGCUGAAAGCUUAUAAUAUUUCGUGUUUUAAAUAUGAUUAAAAAUGGGAACUUUGUCUAGAAACGUAAUCAAAGACCCAAAUCUGAAAAUAUGAGGUAUGAGUAUACUUGGCAAAACAGGCGUGUCGGCGGUGUAAUGGAUCAAAUUGGGUCGUUUUAAAAAUUGGUCAUAAUCAUUCGAGUUAAAAUGAAUAACAGAUUUUUUUAAUAAUAGGAAUUCCCCCCUUAAAAAUGUGUAUUAUUAACCUAAAGUAAUUAUUAAUUUACUUUCUACAGCAACUUUAAAUCACUAAUAUUUUUUUAAAAAGACAAACAUGGACAAGAUAGUGUGUGGGUCAACCCUACUUGGGCCGUCCUGUUUUAUGACCCGUUACCCAACCUGGCCGACCUACCCGUAUUGUUGCCUUUAACAAAAACCUUGCUUGUAAUGGAUGAAGAGCCUAAUUACCAAGGCAAAAGCAACUUUUUUGAAAAUAAGUUUCCGGAAGUAAUCUUAGAAACGUUGACUAUA